CGGGGAGGUGAGGGAGCCCCGCGUUCCUGAACGGUAGGUCGGUUUGGGCCCAUCCCGCCCACCGUCCGCGCCGGCCCGGGCGUUCCUAGCAACGGCCGCGGGCAGAGGAGCCGGCGCCGCGUUCGAACGGCCCGCCACCGCACCGCGGUCGCCCAUUGGCUGACGGCCGUGCCGCUCUGUCAUCGACUUCGCUUAUUGGGCAGCGGGACGGCUACGUCCCGCCCCCGGCAUUUUGAGGUGAGCGCCGCGAGGCGCUGGCCGGGCUGCGCUGGGAGCUGACCGUUCUGCUGUAGGAGCGGGCAGGAGUCGGCUGUGCCGCGUUUCUGUUAGCAGAGCGCACUCUGCUGCUCCUGGCUAGGCGCGGGGAUGGCCGGUAGCGCGCGCGGCCGCUCUGUAGGCAGCCCCCCGGGCCUCGGCCCUUCAAGCGACUCGGAGCAGCUGAGCAGGUCCUACCCCUGGGCCGGUGGCGGCGGGAGGAGCCGGCUGGCCGGGCUGUGCCGGCGGGGAGCCUCGCUGUCCGGGGAGAAAUGGAGCUCUUACUGCCUCUCUUCACUGGCAGCUCAUAAUGUCUGUGCCAGCAAAAUUGGGAACUCUUGGGCUCAGCGGGACUCUUCCUCUCUUUCCAUUUCUGUUGGAAGUUCUUGCUCUUUUGUGCAUGCCCUUGCCCUGGAGGAACCCGGCCAGCACUUCCUGACUGCUGCCCGCAAUCCAAACCAGGCCAUCUUCACCGUGGAUAUCAACACAACAGAGGUAUUUGCAGCUAUAACUGCUAAGCUACACCCCACAUAACUGAUACAGGCUGUAUGAGAUCAUAUAAGUUAAUAUGCCUGUUGUUCUUACUUGUAACUGUAGGCAAUUAGAGUGUUGUGAAGGUGUUUUAUAGUUUGCUUAGUAAUUUUCUAAAGACUGGCAAUGCAUGUAUUUCUAUUGCAUGGUGUAGUUAGCAAAAUAUAUGUAACCAAUUAGAAGCACUGUUAUCUUGACUCUUUUAUCUCAAACAGAAAAAGAGACUAAAGAAGAAUGCAGCUAUGAUGUGGCACGAGGGAAGAAAAGGAAAGCUGAAUGUACUUCAGGCCUUUUGUCUAGAAAGUACCAGCCCAGGGAUAAAUUUAUGGUGGCAUGACAUCUCUGUCUGCCCCACUUAACAUGCUUUUUGCAGUGGGAGAAAGGAGAUUUUUUCUGUUUCUGUCCUGACAGAAACUGGAGUGUAAAAUUAAGGGCUAACAGCUGUAAAGAGCUGUGCCAUUUUUAGUUUGAGCUGAUAGUUUGUGUUUUCCUGUCCUAAAGACACUUAAUCCUAACUUGGUCUUUAACAGAGGCUUAAGCAUGGCAAUGAUUUCUGUGAUUGUUGCAUGUCUUCGGGGGUGGAUGAAAUUCUAUGGCCUGCCUCAGCUCUGCUUGCAAGUACAGCUUUGUAGCUUUGCCUCUGUGGGUGUAAUUCACAAGGCUGAAGGAGAUAGGUUGUUAAAAGCCAGCAGGAAACCUAAAAGGAAAGCCACAUCUCAAACACUCUUAAUCAACAAGACAUUUAGGCAAUGGAUGUCUUAGAACAAGAAGCUGAAGUGAAUUGUUUUCAUAGGCUUCAGAGUUUAAAAGGACUGCUCUAUUUCCACUGAAAGGAAGUGACUUUAU
Numida meleagris (helmeted guineafowl) is the source of this 1632-nucleotide long non-coding RNA. The record is from Ensembl. NCBI's taxonomy places the organism in Eukaryota, Metazoa, Chordata, Aves, Galliformes, Numididae.